Molecule: RNA transcript, 920 nt
Organism: Fopius arisanus
Lineage: Eukaryota; Metazoa; Arthropoda; Insecta; Hymenoptera; Braconidae
Exons: 5
Source: RefSeq, a predicted model, not a curated record
GAUUCAGUAUCGAAUGUUCCUCCGUGGGAGUCCAAUUAAUUCGUUAAUCUCCAUCCAACAAUUAUUUUUUAUUAAUUAAAUUAUGUUAUUUGUUUUCGUGUUGAUUAGCAUUUUUGCGGGGCACGUUUCAGGUGGAAGAGUCAUAAAAAUAAAUGAUAAUCAACGAGGUAUGACAGAUCUUCGGAGUGAAGCUACGGAAGAACUGCCUCGUGACGAGCUCGUGGAAAUUUUGCACAAAGGGCAAUUCUUUCAGGACAUAAUUUCGCAACACGUUGCACCCCUCGAGUUCCACUUCGGGCACGUCUUCGAGAAUCCUAACGAGUGGGAGCAAAGAUUCGAAAAGACUGAUGUCGAAAAUAAUCAGUUUCAAGGAAAAGUUCGAUGGGGUACGAAGAAUGGAGAUUACGGCGAACAUUAUUGGGACCUCAAUCACUAGAAAAUUAUUUUAAAAUGAAUCUUUGAAUUUAUGGGAGGGUAAAAAGAGGGGAAUAAAUACAUAAUCAACAGUCGUUUGUCAAAAAAGAAUUCGAAUAAAAAAAGAAAAAUUAUUAAAUCGAGCCAGUCAAAUGUUACUCGCCAUGUUUCCCUGAUCCAAAAUCCUGUGAUUUUUUUCACUUUCUCUGGCAAAAUUAUGAAAUGUGAUAAAGGCCCGAAAAUGAGCGAAGACGAGGCAGCGUGCAGCGGAAAGUUAGGAAAUGAGCCGCCGAAACCCGAGUUGGAUGGUCUCGUGAUUGGCGAGGAUUUAGCCAAGCGGCUGCAAACAGGCAAUUUUCGUUUCAAUUAUCCGGCCCCUUGAUUUCAACGUCUGGGACAACUAAAAAUUACGUUCCAGGUGAUAAACUGCAUGCAGUCCUUCAAGGAUAGAGCACUGGCCUGCAGCACUGACGUUCAAGAUUUCAUCGGAACUGUCGAUAAACUCC